CGUGCAGGCGGUCUCGUAAGUCGGACGUGAAAGCUCCUGGCUUAACUGGGAGAGGUCGUUCGACACUGCGAGGCUUGAGGUCGGGAGAGGGACGUGGAAUUCUCGGUGUAGUGGUGGAAUGCGUAGAUAUCGGGAGGAACACCAGUGGCGAAGGCGGCGUCCUGGCCCGCACCUGACGCUGAGACGCGAAAGCGUGGGUAGCGAACG
This 207-nucleotide ribosomal RNA is filed under the name uncultured bacterium. Its description in RNAcentral is "partial 16S ribosomal RNA". It matches the Rfam family "Bacterial small subunit ribosomal RNA", at positions 568 to 774 of the family's 1533-position model. The record is from RNAcentral.